RNAcentral lists this ribosomal RNA (253 nucleotides) under uncultured bacterium. RNAcentral's name for it is "partial 16S ribosomal RNA". It matches the Rfam family "Bacterial small subunit ribosomal RNA", at positions 524 to 776 of the family's 1533-position model. The record is from RNAcentral.
UACGUAGGGUGCAAGCGUUAUCCGGAAUUAUUGGGCGUAAAGAGCUCGUAGGCGAUUUGUCACGUCUACUGUAAAAACCUGGAACUUAACUCCGGGCCUGCAGUGGGUACGGGCAGACUAGAGUGCGGUAGGGAAGACUGGAAUUCCUGGUGUAGCGGUGAAAUGCGCAGAUAUCAGGAGAAACACCGAUGACAAAAACAAAUCUCUAAACCAUAACUAACACUGAGGAGCGAAAACAUGGGGAGCGAACAGG